CAGGUUUUUUUUUUCUGUCAUCUGUUGUAACUAAAAAUAAUCUUAAUGACCAACUAGUUCUCCCAAGAAACAGUCCUGCCCCACCCCACCCAGGUGGAGACCAGAAAUACCUGAGAAGGGGGCGGAGUGGGAAGCCGGAGCGGGAAUCCGGACAGCUGACCUGCUGCGAGUCAUCAGUCUGCAGAACUUUACAGUUCAAGUCACACCCACACUUUGUAAUUCAAACAGGUAUCCUCAAAGGACUUUUUCUAUGAAGUAAGCACUUCCUCUUUAAAUGUCCUAUGCUUUUUUUCCCCCGUCUACUUAAUAUGUUCCACAGUGGACUGUGUUUUCAGGAUGGUCUUGCGAGCAAAGCGAACUACAAACGUUGCUAUUAUUUCGUUUUGAAAAUGAUAUUUUUGGUGGCAAACGUGAUAGGAGAGGUCAUCUCCUAAAAAGUUCUAACUCAAAAGUGUGCAAACUGGAUAAAAUUCACCAACCAAUAGAAGAGUGGCCUUGCCUUUCCUGAGGAGAGUCAUCCAGUCUCACACUCGGGCAGUGGG
This 542-nucleotide long non-coding RNA is filed under the name Homo sapiens (human). RNAcentral's name for it is "HSALNT0036544". The record is from RNAcentral. Lineage: Eukaryota; Metazoa; Chordata; Mammalia; Primates; Hominidae.